RNAcentral lists this transfer-messenger RNA (413 nucleotides) under Oscillospiraceae bacterium. It matches the Rfam family "transfer-messenger RNA". From Rfam's summary of the family: Bacterial tmRNA, also known as 10Sa RNA or SsrA, is named for its dual tRNA and mRNA-like properties. Its role is to liberate the mRNA from a stalled ribosome. Lineage: Bacteria; Bacillati; Bacillota; Clostridia; Eubacteriales; Oscillospiraceae. The record is from RNAcentral.
GGGGUUGCAAUGGUUUCGACGGGGGUGUGGAUUCGUAAAUAGCGGGCGAAGGUGCAGGAACUUCUAAAACACUGCAAACUUAUAAAUUAAAGAACAACGAUAACGUAGUUCUGGCAGCCGCUUAAGGCUGUCCGUCCUCCCCGGAAGGUCCACGAGCCGGGCUAGGGCGUCGAUUAGUGGAGAACGUGAGUGCUAAGUAGCUUUGUAGGCACCACGCAUAAAAAGCUACCGAGCUGCAUGUUGCGUGACGGUUUGCACUGCGGCAAGGGAAGGGUCUGAUUCUAAAGUCCGCGUGGAGAAUGCGCAGCAUUCUCUAUACGGCUUACGAAGUAAGACGUUAUGGCCGUCUGCGCCCGGAGAGUUUUACGUUAAAAUGCUUUCGGACGGGGGUUCAAUUCCCCCCAACUCCACCA